AUGGCCGACGAGGCGAAGGCCAAAGGUAAUGCGGCCUUCUCGGCCGGCCGCUUCGAGGAGGCGGCGGGGCACUUCUCCGACGCCAUCGCGCUCGCCCCCGCCAACCACGUGCUCUACUCCAACCGCUCGGCGGCGCUCGCCUCGAUCCACCGCUACUCCGACGCGCUCGCCGACGCCGAGAAGACCGUCGAGCUCAAGCCCGACUGGGCCAAGGGCUACUCGCGCCUCGGCGCCGCCCACCUCGGCCUCGGCGACGCCGCCAGCGCCGCCGCCGCCUACGAGAAGGGCCUCGCCCUCGAUCCCAGCAACGAGGGCCUCAAGGCCGGCCUCGCUGAUGCCAAGAAGGCCGCGGCCGCCCCGCCGCGCCGCGCGCCGUCUGGCGGCGCCGACGCCAUCGGCCAGAUGUUCCAGGGCCCCGAGCUCUGGACCAAGAUCGCCUCCGACCCCGCUACGCGCGCCUACCUCGACCAGCCGGACUUCAUGCAGAUGCUGCGGGAGGUGCAGAGGAAUCCCAGCAGCCUCAACACGUACCUAUCCGACCCGCGCAUGAUGCAGGUGCUCAGCCUCAUGCUUAACAUCAAGAUCCAGACGCCCCAGGACUCCGAUUUCCCGCAGUCUUCCUCGCCGCCGCAGCAGCAGAAGCAGCAACCCGAGACAAAGGCGAGGGAGAUGGAGCCUGAGCCACAACCGGAGCCGAUGGAGGUGUCUGACGAGGAGAAGGAGCGGAAGGAGAGGAAAGCUGCUGCCCAGAAGGAGAAGGAGGCAGGGAAUGCAUCCUACAAGAAGAAGGACUUCGAGACGGCGAUCCAGCAUUACACAAAGGCCUUGGAACUUGAUGACGAGGACAUCUCCUACCUCACUAACCGAGCAGCGGUGUACAUCGAAAUGGGCAAGUACGAUGAGUGCAUUGAGGACUGUGAUAAGGCUGUGGAGAGGGGAAGAGAACUUCGUGCUGAUUUCAAGAUGGUUGCAAGGGCACUAACAAGAAAAGGAACUGCUCUGGCCAAACUCGCUAAGAACUCCAAGGACUAUGAUAUUGCCAUUGAGACUUUCCAGAAGGCUCUAACUGAGCAUCGGAAUCCAGACACUCUUAAAAGGCUAAAUGAGGCUGAGAAGGCAAAGAAAGACUUGGAGCAACAAGAGUAUUAUGACCCAAAGUUAGCUGAUGAGGAGAGGGAGAAAGGUAAUGAGAUGUUCAAGCAGCAGAAGUAUCCAGAAGCAAUAAAGCACUACAAUGAGGCUAUCAGGAGGAACCCGAAGGAUGCUAGGGUGUACAGUAAUAGGGCUGCAUGCUACACCAAGUUGGGAGCCAUGCCUGAAGGUCUUAAGGACGCAGAGAAGUGUAUUGAGCUAGACCCAACCUUCACCAAAGGGUAUACAAGAAAAGGUGCAGUUCAGUUUUUCAUGAAGGAAUACGAAAAGGCAAUGGAAACUUACCAGGCUGGGUUGAAGUAUGACCCGAAUAACCAGGAACUGCUUGAUGGUAUCAGGAGGUGUGUUGAGCAGAUCAACAAGGCUAACAGGGGUGACAUAAGUCAGGAAGAUUUGCAGGAGAAACAGAGUAAAGCUAUGCAGGACCCGGAAAUCCAGAACAUCCUUACCGAUCCUAUCAUGCGACAGGUGUUGAUGGAUUUCCAGGAGAACCCUAGGGCUGCUCAGGAUCAUCUAAAGGACCCUGGAGUGGCACAGAAGAUCCAAAAGCUCAUAAACGCUGGAAUAGUCCAAACGAGAUGA
This 1734-nucleotide ribosomal RNA is filed under the name Triticum aestivum (bread wheat). Its description in RNAcentral is "partial small subunit ribosomal RNA". The record is from RNAcentral. Lineage: Eukaryota; Viridiplantae; Streptophyta; Magnoliopsida; Poales; Poaceae.